AUUGAACGCUGGCGGCAUGCUUUACACAUGCAAGUCGAACGGUAACAGGCCUUCGGGUGCUGACGAGUGGCGAACGGGUGAGUAAUGCAUCGGAACGUGCCCAGAGGUGGGGGAUAACGCAGCGAAAGCUGUGCUAAUACCGCAUGUGAUCUGAGGAUGAAAGCGGGGGACCAGGCAGCAAUGUUUGGCCUCGCGCCUUUGGAGCGGCCGAUGUCAGAUUAGGUAGUUGGUGGGGUAAAGGCCUACCAAGCCGACGAUCUGUAGCUGGUCUGAGAGGACGACCAGCCACACUGGGACUGAGACACGGCCCAGACUCCUACGGGAGGCAGCAGUGAGGAAUUUUGGACAAUGGGCGCAAGCCUGAUCCAGCAAUGCCGCGUGCGGGAAGAAGGCCUUCGGGUUGUAAACCGCUUUUGUACGGAACGAAAAGGCUCUGGCUAAUACCUGGGGCUGAUGACGGUACCGUAAGAAUAAGCACCGGCUAACUACGUG
RNAcentral lists this ribosomal RNA (492 nucleotides) under uncultured bacterium. Its description in RNAcentral is "partial 16S ribosomal RNA". It matches the Rfam family "Bacterial small subunit ribosomal RNA", at positions 30 to 507 of the family's 1533-position model. The record is from RNAcentral.